AACACUGCAUCUUUGCAUUGUACUAAAGGUAGUAUUAAUUGUACAUCAAUAAAGACAUCUCUCAUUUUCCUUUCACUUUGUCUAGAAGUUUCUUACUAUAUCUCACAAUUUUCUAACCCUAAUUUCUCUCCUCCUUGCUAAAGUCGCUCUAUUCUCUCAACUCUUCGUUCUACUUCUCAGCUCUUCAAUGGCGAAUCCAUCUGUUGCUUAGUCUUUUCUGUUUGUCUACACACUCUCCAUCAUUCUAGAACACUCACCUUCCUCAUUAGCACAAAGUAGACGCAAGAUUUUCAAUACAAGCAUCAGUUCUUCCAUUCUCUUGCUCCAACUCCAACAACAACGAAUUCCAGGU
RNAcentral lists this long non-coding RNA (352 nucleotides) under Solanum tuberosum (potato). Its description in RNAcentral is "long non-coding RNA (STUB_LNC000664)". Lineage: Eukaryota; Viridiplantae; Streptophyta; Magnoliopsida; Solanales; Solanaceae. The record is from RNAcentral.